Molecule: long non-coding RNA, 1755 nt
Organism: Scylla paramamosain (green mud crab)
Lineage: Eukaryota; Metazoa; Arthropoda; Malacostraca; Decapoda; Portunidae
Exons: 4
Source: RefSeq, a predicted model, not a curated record
UGCCUCACGUAUCACUAUGAAUACAGUAAAAUUAAAGAAGGUAACUCAAGAUGUGCUUCGGUAUUCAUCUUAACUCAACGUUGUCACUCCUUCGUUUGUCAUGAUUUACCAUUUAUUAUUCAACUUCCUUAUGUCCUGCACUGAACGGCGUCUGUAGGUGCACAAGUAGCAUAGAAUCAAAGGAUAAAUGUAUUUUAAAAUGUUUGUUUUGCAGAAAAAUCUACUCAAAGCUCGAAAAUUUGUUCGAAAUCUGUAUCCGAACUCUGAUACAUUCAUCUCUCCCAUCACGCGCACCAGUCAGUCACCACGGCGGCGCGGCGGCGGAUGUAUGACGCUUGUUUGUGUUAAAAAUUACCUUUCCAAUAUUCAAUUUUCCGUUCACUUGCAAAAUUUGACUAUGUUAGUGACAGUGAUUCCAAUUGCAGUAAUAAACAAUGCUGUGUCUCGAAAGCAGCAGGCUACCCGAGAGAAAAGUGUGUGGUCAGCGAGAGGAGGAAGGCAGGCAUCCCUUAUGGCCGCAGCAAUUGGACGCCGCGGACACCAGUGCAGGGUGUCCACGAGAGAGCUCGGACUCUAGAAGGAUGAUGUUGCUACGUACGCCACAGGAUUAGUGUCCGAAAGCGACGUUGACACCUACAGCAAGAGCUUCCACGAAAUCAUGCGCACCGCCAGCUACUUGAGGCCAGGCUGUGAGGUGCUCCCAUUACCAAGAGUGUGCCUGCCAGUGUGUCCCCAGCUGCACCUUUAGACCUCUGAAAGGAACACGCUGUCGAGGGAUAUACGCGGGGUUAAGAGCACGGCCAGGGGCAACACUGCAUCUCUCACGUACGGAUGCUUUGCGUUUUGUCUUCAGUCUUCCCGCACAACUUCUCUCAUAUUUCUUUCGAUGCACAUUUCCGCGAAAACUGAUAUGACGAUAUUUUUGAUUGACGAAAGCUUAUAUGAUCUAUUGACUGCGCGUGUUUUUUUUUUUUCAGUUCUGUGUGUGUGUGUGUGUGUGUGUGUGUGUGUGUGUUAAACAUCUUAAGCAUCCCACAUUGACAAGUUCGAUCCGUCACGCUUCAUGUGCCGGAAGAGCUUCAAGCCGCGAUGACGUUGCUUUAAGGGACGCGGAGAGGCAUGUUUCCUGCUGGGGGAAGAGCCGGGGCGGCACGCGGUCCUGAGGCUUCAGGCGUGAUGGAAACGAGGACCAGGAAGUGGCGAAUCCCAUAGACGUGGUGGUGGCGUGUGAGCGUGAGGAACGUGGUGGAUAGACGUGCUGCGGGCACAGUGGGGAUCGGUUGACUACCAAGAGCAAAAUAUCAGCUUCAAACGCUGAAAUAUUCAGAGUGGUGGCGGUGAGGGGCCAGGCUGUUCCAGGGUCACACUUCAGCCACGGGCGUUACUGCCAGGGUAAGGAGGCGUCGGCCGUUUCCUACGGCACGUGCCCCGUGGGACGCCUUCACCCCAAUGCUUUGGUGCCAGAGGGGCCAAGGAUGACUCCAGAAAAGGGAUACGUCGUGACGCACAAAACUGACCAUUCCUGGUGCGAGGUGCAGUUGCUAUCAAAACGCAUGCGUGAAAUACAUAAGUUACUAUCUCUUGUGAGCAUUAUUGGGCUUGUAUGUAGAUUGUUCCCGUAAAGAACAAGUAAAAGCGCGCCAUUGUUGUGCACGGGUAGCGCGCAACAGGUGUGCUGAGUUUGACUUCUUGCCCACAGCAGAAGCUCCCGCGGCUUGGCGAGGAACAUUUUGUGGUGAGACAAACAGACAGAAA